Molecule: long non-coding RNA, 2227 nt
Organism: Raphanus sativus (radish)
Lineage: Eukaryota; Viridiplantae; Streptophyta; Magnoliopsida; Brassicales; Brassicaceae
Exons: 11
Source: RefSeq, a predicted model, not a curated record
UUUUCGUUCACGUCACUGAUGUGCAAAACGUCUCUGCCCUUUCACUUUUCGUCGAUUCCUUUGUCUUCCUCUUUGUCCAUUCCCUUUCUCCAACUCUUCUGCAAUCAAACCUCUACUAACGUCAUUAAUAGCACCGUUUCGCCUUUAUUCCUCUGAAAUUAUAUAUAAUACUCUUCUUCAAAUUUUAAUCUCAAUCAAAACUCUUUGUGAUCUCCACGAUGAAUCCCAACGGCGAAUCCAAUGUCUCCGGAGGAAACAAGACGGCAAGGCCGUUAUCUCCUCUCCCAAUCUGAUCGAACCAAUCGUGAACACUGGUGUCUCAUCCGGUUGAUCGAUCAGCAAAACGUGUGUCUCCUCCGGCGUAUCCGGUGUCUUUUCCGGCGUAUCGAUCAAAGCUAAGGGCAAAGCCGCUGCCUCCUCUACCAUGCCGAACAAGCCAAACGUUCGCAGCGCUGUUUCUUCCGGCAAAGUUUAUGAAUCGAUGUUCUUCGAAGACGUCACUCUCGGACCACAUGAAGGAGAGAAAACAGAGAGAAGAAGAGCACUGUGAAGUAUUAUCAAUGGAGAAAGAGAUUUACAGAAUACAUAAUUCAAGAGAAGGGAUAUAAUGUGUUUUGAUGUUUAUGAACAACAUCUUUGAUUUCAGACAUGGUGGAUCUAUCCAUAAGCUUUUGAUGGAUAAGAAACGUGGAAGCAAAAGAAUCGUGUUGAGACUAUGGUGGAGAAGCAGCUUACCUGUGACUGCUACUUUGAGAUGGAAAACUAAAGAAGCGUAUGCGUAUCCAUCCAUCUGAUAUCACCAUGAACAUUGGGAAAGGUGUUCCUGUUCCAGAAUGUCCAAUCGAAACCUUGGUAAAAAAUGGAAAGACGUAAAGCAUGACAACACAACACCGUCACUUGGCUAGCUUUCUGGAAUGAUCCUAUCAACCCAAAAGAGUUCAACUAUGUAUUCUUGGCAGCUGGCAGUGCCUUGAAAGGUCAGAGUGACAAGGAGAAGUAUGAGAAAGCCAAAAAUCUUAUGAACAACAUAGACAAUAUAAGAGCAACUUUCACCAAAACUUUUACAUCUAAGAAUGUUACAAAGAAGCAAAUUGCUGUCACUACUUAUCUCAUUGAUAAACUGGCGGUUAGGGCUGGAAAUGAGAAGGAUCAUGAAGAGUGCGUUGCCUCCCAACGGAAUGAUCGGUAAAGAUGCUAAAGAUACAGUCCAGGAAUGCGUCUCCGAGUACAUCAGCUUCAUUACCAGGGAGCAUAGCCAUAGACAAGUGCCAGAAAGAGAAAUGGAAAACUGUGAAUGGUGAGGAUUUGUUGCGGGCAAUGUCAACAUUAGAUUUCGAGAAUUACUUGGAACCCCUUAAAGCUGUACCAUGCGAGGUACAUGGAGAUAAAGUUCAUGAAGCAUAACAUCGAUGCAGUCUCUUUGCAAUGGUGUGAUGCCUUCAAGCAAAAUCAAAAAGCCAGUCAGCAGAACAUUUAUUUUGAGAAAGCCAGAGGAGGUGAUGGAUUUUUAUCAGAGGAAGAGAUAAGGGCUAGAAGUAAUGAAACGCUUGAGAACGAAGAUAUACAGCAGUUGAUGAGGUUUUUUUCUUUCUCAUAUUGUGAUUGAGAGAAGAUGGUCAACAACCUACAAUUUUAAAUUAUUAUUUGUUUAAAAAUGCUCGAAAGUAAAUAAUGUGAAGUAGAGCUUGAAUGUAAACAAAGAGAGCGUGAGGGUUGAUUUUGUUGUGUGUUUGUAUUGGAAAAACAGGUGGUUGUUCUUAGCGUGUCUUCACUGUCCAUGUAGAGGCUGUGAAGCAAAGUGAAGAAACAUCUAUUUAUAAUGAAGGUGUGACGUCAUUCAAAAUUAAUUUUCCUUCAAAGGUGUGUGGCUGGAGACAUCAAUCCCUUACAAGUAGUGGGUUGUUUCUCAAAGGUCAAAAAUACUCAGCUCAGAGCGGUACCACCUCCAUCAUCAUUUUUAAGGGUUAUUCCGGAGAACUAAAAACACAAAUUUUGAGUAUUUGUAUUCACUUUAUCUGAUUUGUUAUGAAUCGAAUCAGUGGUAAAAGUUCAGAGUUUCUUACUCCAUUUUCAAAUGUUUAUGUGAAAGAUUCAAACCUUUCAUUUAGUUAAUAUCAUUUCUUUAACUUUAUGCUAUGUAAUUAAGGUGUUGGUCAUUUAGGCCACCCACGUUUGUCUCACUUUAGCUUUUGGCGAUUAGUCAAUCCUUUGAUGUUUUUCCUAUUAA